This 77-nucleotide transfer RNA is filed under the name Lactococcus cremoris. RNAcentral describes it as "Lactococcus lactis subsp. cremoris tRNA-His". It matches the Rfam family "tRNA". From Rfam's summary of the family: Transfer RNA (tRNA) molecules are approximately 80 nucleotides in length. Their secondary structure includes four short double-helical elements and three loops (D, anti-codon, and T loops). Lineage: Bacteria; Bacillati; Bacillota; Bacilli; Lactobacillales; Streptococcaceae. The record is from RNAcentral.
GCGGAUGUGGUGAAAGUAGGGUUAACACACCAGCUUGUGGCGCUGGCACUCGCCGGGUUCGAUGCCCGUCAUCCGCC